UUAAUUUUCUUAUCAGAAUUUAGCUAUUAUUUUUGAAUAAUUUCAAAAAGGGAAAAUAUUAGUUAAAUCCAACGUGAUAAAAAUGAGCAUUUCCAAAUUAGCCAGGGCCACAACGCCAAGCCAAAGAAACGCUGCCCUCGCCAGAUACACGAGUGAUGAGUGCCUGUCAUGACCCGGAGGUGGACAUCUCGGCAAUUGUCAAAUGACAUUUUAAAAUACGUACCAUCUUUAGAAACAAACCGCAGAAUUGAGUUUUAAACAACUACAUUCUCGCUUGAACAACCGUUAAAACUUUAUUUUAUGGUACAUUUAGAGCAAUAUUUGAUUAUUGUAUUGGUUCUGUUCAGUACUUGUGUGGGAUUGAAUCAGAUUGAACUGUUUGCUGGGAGAUCGGGGAUCUUUUUAUCGCACUAAACCUUAUACUCAUCUGCAUGUAUUGUGUACUAUAGCUAGUGUAUAAAUGCAUGUGGCUGCGUUACAAUGAAAUGCUAAUCAAUCAUAUUAAUGUUUUACGUUAUUAUACAAAAAGGCAAUCUGUUUCGGGUGGCAUCCGACUCUUACAAUUCAUUUAAGAGAGCCGAUUCCUAGAACCGAACCGAGUCAUUUGACUCUUUCAUCAGACAACACAGAAAGCCUGCAUUGUGAACUUGUCAUGGUCUCAUCCAAAGCAAUUUAUCGGUAAGUGUUGAAAUGUCCAACUCUUUUAAUUAAAUGAUUGUUAUAUAUAUUUCUGUAUAGCACGUAAUUCACCAAGUAACUUUAGCUACUUUUGUCACGUUGUUUAUUAACAGACGGUUUUAGCACAUUUAUAAACGAAGUUAACAGAAGGUGUUUGUAACGUUAAUGCUAAUUUUGAGGUAUUAGACACUGUUUGAGUUUUUAAAAAAUGAAUUUUCUGUUAACUUAGAGUUAACUGUGUUCUAUUUCAGCACCACAUUGAGUUAAAGUGACCACAGAGGUUUAGUGAGCACUGAGGAAUAAAGUAACGUAAGCGAGGUAAGCACUGGCCUUCAUUUCAUUAUGACCCUCAUUAUCAAACCAUAACAAAAAUGAUAUUGUCUAACGCUAUUUACUAAUUAGAACUUCUUGUAUAGUGUCAAAGAGACAGACCAGAUGCAUCAACCGGCAAGUCUGUAUCAGGAAACAUGACUGACCACGAAUGGAUAACUGUCUAGGUUGCAAGCAGGAGAUACAUGUUACAUGAGUGCUGUAUUUGAGAGAGAAGCCACUGUGCACUGUGGACCUUUAAAGCUGCUGAGGAGCUCUUGGAGUAGACAGAGAUCUGAGACUAAAGUGUUGUUGGACAAUGAAAAACUGACAGGAACUAAACAGCUUGUGAUGGCAGUAAUGUUGACAUGAACGGGGCCUUUUACAAGUGAUUGCCUAAAGACACCAUCAUCAUCAUCAUUAUCAUCAUCAUCAUCAUCAUCAUCUUCGAAGGUGUUAAAAGUUCUAAUAAACCUUAUCUUUACUAGGCUCAAGCCCCAGCUGGACUGUUUUGGCCCAAGGUAUCCGAUCAAGUGACUGUUGAAAUGCGACUGGCCCUAGCGCAUUGGCACGCUAACUUAAGGCGCAAGAGUGGAAACACAGCUCUUGACUACAUUUCCAGAGCUUGUGUCCUCCUGGGUUUGACCUAUGCAUUUUAGUUGUGACUAAGAAUGGUGUUUUACAAGUGACUGUCUAGUAAACACUGAAAGAGAUUAAAGGGUAGUAUUAUCAUGAACUGCUGUGUCCUCUUUGCCUCAAUGAAUUCAUUCAUUAUUCAGGCAAACAAUACUUUUCAUGCAUUAAAUCAGAUAAAUUUCACUUUAAGUGUAUUGUUUUAAACAAUAUUGUUUAAUGUCCAGUUGUUUAAAACUAUGCUGUUUAAAAACAUUAUCAGAGUCUUAGUUAUGAUUAUUAGUUUGUUUAAAUGUACAGUUUUUAUUGUGUAUAAUAUGAAGAGAUUGUUGUUAUUCUGUUUUGUGGCUCCACACUGCUCAACAGGCUCCGCUAAUUUGAGCUAAAAUCAAUUAAAUUUUACUCUGUCCAUACUUGUUGAAUUUAAUUAAUAUUGCUUGUAAUGUUACCUCAAUUUUAUUGUGUAGACAAAGUAUUAUUGUCUAGAGUUGAUGAACAGG
This is a non-coding RNA of Danio rerio (zebrafish), 2120 nucleotides long. The record is from RefSeq and is a predicted model, not a curated record. NCBI's taxonomy places the organism in Eukaryota, Metazoa, Chordata, Actinopteri, Cypriniformes, Danionidae.